Molecule: ribosomal RNA, 296 nt
Filed under: Rhizobium sp. S7-10
Lineage: Bacteria; Pseudomonadati; Pseudomonadota; Alphaproteobacteria; Hyphomicrobiales; Rhizobiaceae
Description: partial 16S ribosomal RNA
Rfam family: Bacterial small subunit ribosomal RNA
Source: RNAcentral
AUGAAGUCGAGCGCCCGCAAGGGAGCGGCAGACGGGUGAGUAACACGUGGGGAUCUGCCCGAUGGUACGGAAUAGCUCCGGGAAACUGGGAAUUAAUACCGUAUGUGCCCGCAAGGGAAAGAUUUAUCGCCAUCGGAUGAACCCGCGUCGGAUUAGCUAGUUGGUGGGGUAAAGGCCCACCAAGGCGACGAUCCGUAGCUGGUCUGAGAGGAUGAUCAGCCACACUUGGGACUUGAGACACGGBCCAGACUYCUACGGGAGGCAGCAGUGGGKKAAUAUUBGGACAAUUGUCGCAA